Molecule: RNA transcript, 3513 nt
Organism: Fundulus heteroclitus (mummichog)
Lineage: Eukaryota; Metazoa; Chordata; Actinopteri; Cyprinodontiformes; Fundulidae
Exons: 2
Source: RefSeq, a predicted model, not a curated record
AGAGAGACUAGGUAAAAAGUAAAAAUUAUAUAUAUAUAUAUAUAUAUAUAUAUAUAAACAGGGAUUUAGAUCUGCGGGAAAAAUGAAUAAAGUGCUGCAAUGAAUGCUAAAACUAAAUUCUGAACUGAAACAGAGGGCAGGGGAAAAUAUUUUUCUGGUGACAUGGUAACAGACAUGACAAUACUGGUUGUGCUGCUGAUGACCCCUUGUUUAAAAUUACAUAUAGACAUGUGAUGCUUCACCCUCCUUUCCAUAUGCUCCAUUGCAGGUGGAGCUGCAGGCCCUCCAGGUGGCUGACCCGGAUCUGGACUCCUGUCCCCCUCCGAGAAGACAUCAACCUGUUCAACAGUAUGCGGACCGAGGCAAGGCUGGGGAGCGAGGCGAGCUCAGCAAGCAGGGCGGCUCUGACGGAGCAGCGGGUGAAAACUACGGGAGGAUCCCUCCCUCAUCAGACCCAGUCACUCCCAAGGCAGAGCAGACACAAGAGUCAUCUCAAAGCCAGAACUGGACUUUAUUCGCACCUCUCUGUUUUUCACAUGCCAGAGAAAUGGGAAACAGCGAGUAAACCAAGGACAGAUUCAUCAAUUCCCUAUGCUGGAGGUGACAGGAGUGAAUGAACCCCAUGUUUAGACCAAGGACUGCAGCUGACAUCCAGGCCAGCGCUGCCCUCCUCUCUAAUCCCAGAGAGGAAGGACAAAGGUUGCUGCAGAAAGUAAACUUUGUCUGGAGACUGGAGUCAAAGAAGAGACACUGAUCUGCACAAGGUUGCCCUAAUCCUGUUUUCUGAUGGAUCUCACCGAGGAAGAUCUAACCAUCGUGGACAUGGUCAUGCACGUCAGGGCAUAGGUUGUGGACAGUGGUCUCGUUCUGAUGCAUGUUGCAACUGUGGACAAUUGGGACAUUGGAAGAACGACUGCCCGCAGGGACCGCAGCAGCCUGGUGCCGGUAACUGACAGGUGGGGGAUCGGACCCUGGAUCCGGAGGCCAACCUCGUUGAGAAGGGACCUGCCAAGGGGCGUGAGGCUUCACACACACACACACACACACACACACACACACCGCUACACCUGUGUUUGAAUGCUGAAAUGGUACCUGCUUCAACUGAUCCACAUAGUUUGCUCACAGAGGCCAUCACACACUUAGAAUGUGCCACAGCUGCUACAACAGGCACGCAUCUCCAUACAAAAACCCCUGUCCCUUAAAAAAAAAAAAAAAAAAUGCCUUCAAAAAUGUUUUCUACGCUAGUAAUAGGUGAAGAAAUUUAUUUUGUUGUUGACUCGGGUGCAACUCACUCUUAUCUGCUAAAUGUAUCAAGUAACAGCCAAAGCUCAGUGGCUGUUAUGUUUAUUCUGUCUCAGCUUCAGUUAGGAAAAGUUUUUCUGUUUCUUUUAAAGUGUUUCACUCCGCAGGGAGUGAAGCUGAAGCAAUUUUUUUUUCUUUUUUUUCGGUGUCUCGUCUGUGUCCUUUAAAUCUUAUGGAUAGAGCUUUGAUGUGUAGAUUGGACAUUAUCAUUUUAACCUCUGACGGACUGACGGUUCACACUCAGGACUCUGACUUUACUGCAGUACUUUGGGCCCUAGAUAAAUCUUUGUAUGCAUACGAAUGGAAGCUUCCAGCUGCUCCUGUGCCUUAACAUUUUGUCUCAGCAGUAAAUGCUGUGACACCUGACAGUGACAUAAUGAUUCACAUGACUUACAUAGUAUUCCCCUUGUGUCUGACGGACUUGACUUUGACUUGUGGAAACUUUCUCAUUUAAUACAUUGAUGAUUUGUUAAUCAUCAAUGCAGGACAGACAUGUUGAAAUAGCUUUAACAUCUCUUUUAAAAAAAACAUAAAGUCUCAAAAUCUAAAUGCAGUUUGUGCAGGAGGAAGUCAAAUCUUUUGGCCAUGUUCUUUCACAUAAAAGCAAAAAGUAGUCACCUCAGCGGAUCAAAGUGGCUCUAAAAAUCCUAAAACAAAUCACAAAGAAACAAAUUAUUUAAUUUCUGGGUAUGACAGGUUACUGCAGAGCUCACAUUUCAAACUACUCCAAGCUUGAAUCUCUGUUGGCUGCUUUAAUUCACGGACAGGGACUAGCAGCUGCUGGUAAAAUCAUAUGGACGUCUGAGGCAGAACUGGUUUUCUCUGCUCUGAAAGCAGCCUUGUCCUCUGCACCGGUGCUGGCUUUGCCAAACUCUGACAAACCAUUUAUUUAAAUGAUGGAUAAAAAAUCUGAUUUCAUGUCAUCUGUUUUGUUGCAAUCUCAUGGUGACAAAUUGCGACCUGUGGCCUAUUAUUCCAUUAAACUUCACGCUGUUGCAGCUGGUUUGUUUGUUGGCUACAACUCUCUGACAGUUUUUGUUCCACAUUCUGUUUCUAUCAUCCUCCUGGAACAAAAGACUUCCUAUUUAUCAGCAGCAAGGUGGCUUAAACUUUCCUAAAUUUAAUUGGACAUACAUGACAUUACUGUAAAACGAUGCAGUAUUUUAAACACAGCCACACUUCUGCCUACAGAGGAGGAUGAGUAAAGUCAUGACUGCGCAGCUGUCUUAAAUGUCGUUUGUACCCCUCGUCCUGACUUACAAUACAUUCCUUUGUCUAACACCGACCUCGAAUAUAUGUUGACGGCUCCUCCUCCCGUUCUGCUCCAGGUUUAAACUGAAAUGGGUUUGCUGUGUUCUGACUCAGAUGUUUUACGCUCAGGUCCUUUACAGCACUCCUAUUCUGCUCAAACAGCUCAACUCAUCACCUUAAGUGAGGCUUGUAAGUUGGUGGAAGGAAAAACUGUGGUAUGGACACAUGAAUUGGAUCAUGCGUCCAGAGAGGCGAUGCUGGAUAUGGUUAAAAAAUAUUGGUACACAAAUGGGUUUUCAGUGGUAGCUGAAAAAUUACUGCAAAAAGUAUUUGAUCUGUGCUUCUUACAACCCGUCUAGGGUUCCUGCACAGCCACAAACUGCACAUCCGCCUCUACAAUUUCCAUUCCCACAUCUGAUAAUGGAUUUGAUUAAGCUGACACCUGUUGAAUGAAAUAAAUAUUGUCUAGUGGUCGUGGACAUGUUUUCCAUGUAUGUUGAAGCUUUUGCAAUGAAAAACGCAGACAGCAGUGCCGUUGCUAAAGCCUUAUUAAUGGAGAUCUUUUCCAUGCUGGGGGGUCCAGGAGUUAAUUUCCAGUGAUAAUGGGACAUAAACAAAUCUCUGCAGGAAAUCAGCAAACUUCUGAGUUUCUAAUUAAUAAUAAUAAUAAUAAUAAUUGAACAUUAUUGAUCUCACAGUGGAUAAAUUCACUUCUGCAUCUUAACCCAUCCCCUAGGGGAGCUGUGGGCUGCCGCUGUGCGGCGCCUGGGGAGCAGGCUGGGGUUGGGGGUCUUCCUCAGGGACCCAGAGUGCAGGCUGUGGGGAUCAAACCGGGUACUUGCAUCCUUCUCUGAGUGCAGGCGCACUGCCCUAACCACUAGGCCACCACUCCACCUUAAUUAAAAACAUAUUGUGCUUAUCAUCCAAAUCAGGAGUAGCUGUAGAAAAGGAAAGGUUCAC